UCCUCUUUACAGAGGCAGUUUGUUCCGAGUCCCCGGCAUGAUCCGCUGGUAACAGAACAUGAGGGUUGCGCUCGUUGCGGGACUUAACCCAACAUUUCACAACACGAGCUGACGACAGCCAUGCACCACCUGUACUACACCCUCGAAGGCGACUCCGUUUCGGGAGCUUGCAGUAGCAUGUCAAGUCCUGGUAAGGUUCUUCGCGUUGCAUCGAAUUAAGCCAUAUGCUCCACCGCUUGUGCGGGCCCCCGCCAAUUCCUUUGAGUUUCAACCUUGCGGCCGUAGUCCCCAGGCGGUUCACUUAAUGCGUUAGCUGCGGCACCGAGGGAAACCCCCCAACACCUAGUGAACAUCGUUUAUGGCCAAGACUAC
This 372-nucleotide unclassified non-coding RNA is filed under the name uncultured bacterium. Its description in RNAcentral is "contains 16S-23S intergenic spacer region". The record is from RNAcentral.